AUUGAACGCUGGCGGCAGGCCUAACACAUGCAAGUCGAACGGUAACAGGAAACAGCUUGCUGUUUCGCUGACGAGUGGCGGACGGGUGAGUAAUGUCUGGGAAACUGCCUGAUGGAGGGGGAUAACUACUGGAAACGGUAGCUAAUACCGCAUAACGUCGCAAGACCAAAGAGGGGGACCCUCGGGGCCUCUUGCCAUCGGAUGUGCCCAGAUGGGAUUAGCUUGUUGGUGGGGUAACGGCUCACCAAGGCGACGAUCCCUAGCUGGUCUGAGAGGAUGACCAGCCACACUGGAACUGAGACACGGUCCAGACUCCUACGGAGGCAGCAGUGGGGAAUAUUGCACAAUGGGCGCAAGCCUGAUGCAGCCAUGCCGCGUGUAUGAAGAAGGCCUUCGGGUUGUAAGUACGUUUACUAGC
Molecule: ribosomal RNA, 418 nt
Filed under: uncultured bacterium
Lineage: Bacteria
Description: bacterial SSU rRNA
Rfam family: Bacterial small subunit ribosomal RNA
Source: RNAcentral